Molecule: transfer RNA, 49 nt
Filed under: Symsagittifera roscoffensis
Lineage: Eukaryota; Metazoa; Xenacoelomorpha; Acoela; Convolutidae
Description: tRNA-Met
Source: RNAcentral
AAAAAAAGAUUACAUUAAGAAUUUUGUAUUUAAUUUUAAUCUUAUUUUC